RNAcentral lists this transfer RNA (76 nucleotides) under Dermabacter sp. Its description in RNAcentral is "tRNA-Arg". It matches the Rfam family "tRNA". Rfam says of the family: Transfer RNA (tRNA) molecules are approximately 80 nucleotides in length. Their secondary structure includes four short double-helical elements and three loops (D, anti-codon, and T loops). The record is from RNAcentral. Lineage: Bacteria; Bacillati; Actinomycetota; Actinomycetes; Micrococcales; Dermabacteraceae.
GCCCGCGUAGCUCAGUGGAUAGAGCGUCUGCCUCCGGAGCAGAAGGUCGUAGGUUCGAGUCCUGUCGCGGGCGCCA